UUUAAGUGCAGUUGUGGAUCUCCGUGUCCAGCGUUUGACCGCCCGUCUUAUUUGAAAAAUUUAUGAAAAAAAUUAAAAAAAUAAGUUACGCGUAAAAUACUAUUAAUGUUUUAUUAUCUAAUAAUAAUAAAAGUAAUGAUAAAAUAAUUUAAAUAAAACGGACGGUCAAACGUUGGACAUGGAAACCCAUAACUACAUUUAAA
Molecule: microRNA precursor, 203 nt
Filed under: Oryza glumipatula
Lineage: Eukaryota; Viridiplantae; Streptophyta; Magnoliopsida; Poales; Poaceae
Description: MIR812 microRNA precursor family
Rfam family: MIR812 microRNA precursor family
Source: Rfam by way of RNAcentral